Molecule: unclassified non-coding RNA, 2153 nt
Filed under: Neodiprion lecontei (redheaded pine sawfly)
Lineage: Eukaryota; Metazoa; Arthropoda; Insecta; Hymenoptera; Diprionidae
Description: lissencephaly-1 homolog, transcript variant X1
Source: RNAcentral
AACCUACUAGACUAGAUGGUGGAAAUUGCCAAUUCAUUGCAUGAGUAUAUGCUCUACAGAAACAAGGCGAUUGCAGACUAUCUGAGUAGCAACGGAUAUCAAGAUGCCCUGGAAGCGUUCAAGAAGGAAGCUGACAUGCCUGGUGAGGUGGAGCGGAAAUACGGUGGGUUGCUCGAGAAGAAGUGGACUUCAGUCAUAAGACUACAAAAAAAGGUCAUGGAACUCGAGUCGAAACUAUCAGAGGCAGAAAAAGAAUUUAUUGAGGGAGCGCCUACUAGGGGUAAGAGAUCACCGACCGAAUGGAUUCCGAGGCCACCUGAAAAGUUCUGUCUCUCUGGGCAUAGGGCGCCUGUAAACAGAGUAAUUUUCCACCCAGUAUUCAGCCUUAUGGUUUCUGCCAGUGAAGACGCCACGCUAAAGGUGUGGGAUUUCGAAAGCGGAGAAUUUGAGCGAACACUCAAAGGCCACACGGACAGUGUUCAAGAUAUUGCAUUCGAUACUACUGGAAAGCUCUUGGUAUCCUGCAGCGCUGACAUGUCAAUCAAGCUGUGGGACUUUCAACAGUCAUUUGCCUGCAUCAAGACGAUGCACGGGCAUGACCACAACGUUAGUUCGGUAGCAUUCAUGCCGCAAGGAGACUUUAUUGUCAGCGCGUCACGGGACAAGACCAUAAAAAUGUGGGAGGUUGCUACUGGUUAUUGUGUAAAAACGCUUGCGGGGCACAGAGAAUGGGUCCGUAUGGCACGGGUGAGUCCUUGCGGCGAACUGAUUGCAAGCUGCUCAAACGACCAGACUGUCAGGGUAUGGCACGUUGCAACUAAAGAAACCAAGGUCGAACUGAGGGACCACGAUCAUGUUGUGGAAUGUAUCGCGUGGGCCCCGGAAACAUCGCGUGGAGCGAUCAACGCUGCAGCUGGAGCAGACAAUAAAGGGGCACACGAGGGACCCUUCCUGGCAUCUGGAUCCCGAGACAAGACAAUACGCGUGUGGGACGUUGGGGCUGGGGUAUGUCUAUUCACUCUCCAAGGGCAUGAUAACUGGGUACGUGGAAUAGUGUUCCACCCAGGUGGUAAAUAUAUAGUCAGUGCAUCAGACGAUAAGACGCUGCGGGUAUGGGACACCCGCAACAAACGGUCAAUGAAGACGCUUGAGGCACACAUGCACUUCUGCACGUCUGUUGAUUUUCACAAGAGCCAUCCAUACGUGGUAAGCGGUAGCGUGGAUCAGACGGUAAAGGUUUGGGAAUGCCGCUAGUCACCCAGUUUCUGAAAUUACUGAAACUUAACAAAAGUCCAGUUCCAUAUGGGGAUGGCACAGAACUUGACAGUUUCUUCUGGAACAUCGAUUAUUGUCCAAACGCAAGUCUUCAUCCAAAACCUAAGCUCGAGAAGUUCUGAAGUUGACCUGGCUCUACUAUUUACGUAACGCUAUUACUUUAUUUAUAUACAUACACGUAUAAUAUACUAUUGCUAUGCUAUACUAUUCUACUACACAUUGAAUAUUAACCAUUAAUCUACCUUAUACCCUAUUGUGACUACUGUACUCAAAUUAUCUAUUUCAUCACACUAAAAAAUUGAACAAAAUUUUAAGAACCCAGUAUACAUAUACUUUGAUUACAAUUAAUUGCCCAGCAAUGAGAAAUCGUUAUGAUUAUACUAAUUUGAAUUAGAAAAUUGCGGUAAUAUAAUAAUAUUCUUUACCAAUAACGUUUUGAUCUAUGGUCAAGCGUAACGUUGGACUGGCUGCUGUUACUCAAAUGAUUUUUGACGUUAAAUUCUUCGCGUUCUUACCAAGAUUUAAUUUCUCAAUUUCGGUGGAAAGUUUGUUGGAAUUUGUAACGUCAACUUUUUUUCAAUGCUGGACAAACUUCUUGACGUGCAUUAUUAACGUAAUAUUACUAUAUACAGUAAAUUAAUAGCAAAUUACCAAUAAAAUUUGUGAAAUUGAAAAAUAUUGAUUACACUUGUGUAUGGAGAUCAUAAUUUCUGUAGCUUAACAAUGAAUGGGGUGUGAAACGAAGUAUACUAGGAUACUAAGUAGGAUAGUACUGUUAUAAUAUGAGUAGGAACACUUGGAAUACGUGUAGAAAUUAGAGCACACACAUACGACUUGCAACCAAAUAGACGUGAUGAAUAAUAAUUAAUUUUAAAAUA